CUUUGUCCCCGCCCUCUGCCGCUCAACGGCUUCGCUUCCCCGAACGGAUGGAGCCCGGGGAGCGGCGGCUCCGCCGAGCGAGAGGAAAGCCGGGGGCAGCGGCGCUGCCUCGACGGGGUGGUCCUGACGGACGUGGAAAAGCCUCCCCGAGAGGAAAAGACGGGUCGAGUAGAGACAUCUCACCGGAGAAACUUCUCUGAUGCCGCCGAGGAGCCCCGAGCAGCCAGAGCGACUAACAGCGGAAGCCGCCCGCCCCGGCGAACCUCCGUGCCCCGGUGACAGGGAGAUGCCCGCGGCCCCGGCGGGGCGGCCGGGGCUCCGGCGGGGAUGCAGAUCCAUCCUGGACACGGCUCCGCAGCCGCAUCCUCCCUCGGGGGGCAGACAGGGACCCGCUCCACGGGCUCUGCACCUCCUCUGACCGGGAGAGACCCCGGACGGGCCCGUCUUGAACUUGACUUGGGGCACUGCGGGAGGCAGGGGGUCCCGUCCCCUCCGCCCUGCGCAGGGUCCGCUCGGGCAAACGAACCACCAAACCUUUAAAAAUUAACUUAAAACGAAUCUACCUUCUUCUCCCUCCAAAACCAUAAAUCCACCAAAACCCCAAAGGUUUGCCAGGCAGGCAAAGAUGGGCAGAAAGGGGGUGGGAGGGGUGUUGUAGCCCCUAGAGUUGCCCAUCUGAAAAAAAUAAUCCCCCGAGCCCCGUGCAGGCAGCUUUCCCCGCUCCUCACUGCCCAGCCCGGCUCCUUAAAAUAAUUCCGUUCGAGGUGCACCUGCCUGACAUGGAUCUGUGCUUCUUUCACGCUGUGAAAUGUCUCUCUCGCUGUGCGCAGAGCCGAGCCCGGGGCUGGACGCGGAGCGCUGCCCUGCCCGGCUCCUUCCCGAGGGCGAGGAGAAGCGGAGCCUCUGGGGGCCGUCGGGUUUUCCUUGGAUACCCGCCUAAGGUUGUGUCUGCGUCUCUCCGGAUCGCUCCAGGCUUGGAAACGUGCCGGAGGUCUUGUUCUCUGAUGGCAUCCUGAAAAAUACAAACUGGAUAUUAUUCUUAUCACUGCUGAUGAUAUUUACUGUCAAUAAAUAGACUCAGUUAAGUGGGAACAAAUGUUUGUUUGUAAUCCUCCUGCAACUGCAGACUUCAUUAUAUGUGAAGAAUACAGAGAUUAAUUCUGCCAUUUGCCGACAGCAUGUUUCCAGUUUCCUAGUAUAUGAUAUUAUUCCCAUGCAACUGCAGAGUAACGUUAAUGUGAAUCUGGGCUGAAAUUUUUUUCCCCCCUUCUUGGGUAAAAUAUAAAGAUUAAUUAGUGAUGUACUCACUCUAGCCUUUCAACCUGGCUGGGACUGACAUUUUUUUUUUCAUGCUAUAGUGCCUAAAGUAUUUCUGGUCCUCAGCAAAGGCGAGAUUGUUUUGUACUGCAGUGAACUAGUCCAUUGGAUCAACGUACAUUUGACUCUUUACCUCUUUAGAAAUGUUUUUUUUUUUUUUUAAUAUUUUCUGAGUCCAUGGCCAAUGUCCUUUUUUUCCAAAAAUGGAUUUCUUUUUAUCACAAAAUGAAAAAUACCACAUCUCAAAGUUUUAUCGUAGGCAGAUUCUAUUUUCAGAUAGCAUCAUGUGGAGACUAUGUUUUCAAAAGCAUUAACUCAAACCACACGGAUGCACAACUGUUUUAAAAUAUGAGAAUUCACACAUGCUUUUUAUUAUAACGCACAUAAAACUGAAGUAUAAUACAGUAGGCUUUGGCAAUAAAAUGGAGUAGUCAAUGUAUAAAUUUUAUGCCUCGUUCUUAGAUUAAUGAACUGCUUUUCUUGAUGAAUUGAGCAUGAAUGAGUAAAAACACAAUGAUCUGAUUAGAUACUAAAUCAAUGGUUUUCUGGCAAUUCAAAAAUUGCAUGUCUAGUUCAAAGUUCACUUUUUUUUUCUGGGACAACUUGAUAAGCUUCUUCUCCUAGCCAAACCACUAAAGAGGCAUUGUCAGUCUCUUCAAGUUCACUAUUGUUCUCAGAAAAUCACUUCCUUAAGAAACAUCCAUAUGUUGAGUUGUACUUUGUGGGAAACAAAAUUACGGUUCUAAGUAAUUUACUCUGUAACUGCAUUGAGGUUGGAUUCAGCUGGUACAAAUACCUCCUGAUGAUGUUAUAGCAGAGGUAAGUGUGGCUUCACCUUCUCUCUGCUGGUACAGGAAACGGGGAGAGGUCUGCAGUCAGCAGGGACAGUCGGAGGAGAUUCCUCAAGGCUGGGAUCUCAAGUUGAACCACUUCAUACAUUUGGAAGCUCAGAUUUGUAUUUAGGAAUAUAAAUGAAGGUAAUGGUUUGCCCAGUGAAGCUAACAGACAGAUGACCUGCUUUUGUAGACAGGGACCCAUAAGUGUUUAUGGGAGGGAGAAACCUUUUUCAUCUUAGAGGCAUUGGGAAGAGGAAAUGCAAAUGGAGAGCUGUCAUAAGCUGUUCCAAACCUCCAGUGGCUGUCAGGGAAGACCAAAUAGAGGAAGGUCUAUGCAGCAGGUAGUGAUUUGUAGGUAAGUAGAGAUGGGCCAGCUGGGAGCAAUGAGCUAGUUGCUUUGGGGUGGGGUCUAUAUAAAAGACUGCCUUAGAGAAGCAGCUUUGUUGCUUGGAGAUUUUGGUUGCAAGGAGCUACAGCUCAGGCUGUUGUUACAGAUUUGGUGAAACAAGCCAGGCUUUGCCCUUUUCUUUGGAGUCCUGGUGUUGCUCCUAAAAGGGCUGAGCUACUGCUUUGCAGUGAAUGGCUUCUCUCUAUAAGGUGAGAAUGAAGUGGAUGUGGUCUUCAGGCUCCGUGGUAUCCCCUUUUGGCACUGCAGUUCCCUACUGAGAAGGCAGGCUGGUCAGCUUGGGUGAUGGAGCCACGCCAGAAGCUGUCUGAGAUAAAACCCUUUCACUGGAAAAGGUGCUGAGGCUGAUUCUCUGUUUUCUCACAGCCUUCUGUAGCUGCUGGUCCAGUGCAAAAAUGAUGUGAAAUACUGAGCGAACGAACAAUUCCUAGAGGAGCAGUGGAAUAGCAGCAUCCUAUGUCCAGAGGGAAGCUCUGGUGGGAGGUGCAGCCCCUCCGUACAAUGGUUCCAGCGGCUUCAGUUGCAGUGCAUGUUCUGUGGCUUCCACUUGAGCUGGUUAUCCAGAGCUGAGCCCUAAUCCCAUCCAAGCCGGUGGCAGAGCUCUCGUUGGCACUGGGAGAAGGAGGCUGGAUUAGCGGUGUCUCUUCUGGGCAGUUCUGUUGUUGAAUGAUCAGCAGCUUUGGCGGCAGGCGAGCUGGAUGCCAGCCCUCUCAACAGUGCGUGCCGAAGCAGGCAGGUGACCUUCAGUGCACAGAUCCUGCCUGGCAGAGGAGAGAAGCCUUCACAGAUUUCCUGUGCUCUUUAACCUUGUGGUACAUGUGUAAAAUUCUGUGUAGAGGGAAAAGCCUCCAUCCCGGGAAUAGGUGCUUAGAGACAGUGUCUUGAAAUGAAAAAAAACUUUAUCUGAAUAUCUGUGUUUUUGACGGAGCUUGGUUGUACGGUGAUUCUUCUUAAUAGUAAGUCAUUUGCUCCAGAAGGUGAUGCUCUUUGGGCUCUGGCUUGCUCUCUUGGGAUGGAAAUUCUUUGGAGCACGGAAUGUGUGGGGAGAAAUAGAGGCUUUCCUGAAACUGGGGGGAAUGUUUUACUACUGAAUCCAAGCUGUAGUUGUUUGGAACAGCGGCAUGCACAACUUGCCUGGGUAAUUCAGUGACUUUUGUGUCAGCAUUAAAGAUGAAUACAACUUUGAAAUGAAAGCCAGGGGAGAAAGUGCAGCAAUUUAGCUUGUUCUGUCUUCUAGCUUUUAGAACAAACCUUGGAUAACGUAGAGGAAAAUCAGGUAGGUGGCUGAAUAUUCCUGCUCAUACACAGAGUGUGCAGUGCCUGCUCUGAGAGCUGGGUGCCUUCGUUCACUCCAGUUCAUGCAAAGUGCCUUCUUUCAACAGCUUGUUAGUUUGAUCUGAGAGUGUGAGAGAAUCUCCUCUGUGUCGCUAGCUGAGGUUUUAAUAUUGAAAAAGGAGGAGGGAAAGUGGAUUUUGAGAUUAAUACUGGAAAAUUGGAACUACAUAUGGAAAAAAACACAGAGAAAGAAUUGGUGAGCUGGAAAAAAAUAGACAAAUAUUACUAUUUUUUUAGUGUUUUUCAGGGUUUAUGUUCUUUAUUACUUAUUCCAUGCUGCGUUUUGGAAAGUAUUUGGCAAAAGUAUAAAUGCAAUCUUUAGACUACUUUGUAGUCAGAUGCCAUAGCCUAGAUUAAUUUGACUAUCUUUACAGAAAUAGCCACUAAGGAAAUACACUGAUUUAUGUAUCAGUUUAGAACUUGUUUGGGGAAACAGUUAGAGCUGUAGAAUACGAAAGAUAUUUAGGACAGAGAGUGCAAAAGUUUUAUAGCUUCUUAGUAUGAAAAGAUGGGUAAAUUUCAAUUAUGCAUUUUAUUAACACAGCCUCUUUAGCUCUAUAAAAUGGUAACAAUGUUAAAAUCCCCUCCUGGGAAAUAAUCUCACCUAUCUCACUGCUGAGAGACACUACUUGGGGAUGUUAGGAGAUGCUGAUGGAGUUAACCAGUUGUUAAUCAGUUGUUCAUUUGCAGCAGAGUCCUGCUUCAGCUGAAACAGAAGAUAAUCGGAUGAUAAUUUUUGACUUGCCAGGUGGUUUUGUUGUGAACUGAGCCUAACAAGAUCUGUAAGGAGUUAGUCUAUUACAGUGAUAAAAUCAGGUCAACUCAUAUCCAACUUCGAUGCACCAGAAGGUCACCAGACGGUCAGUGCUGAGGUGCUUGUUUGGGGCCCAAGCAAGCAGCACUGGUUGGUGCCAGGCACCCCUUGCUCCUAGCUGCCUUCCUUGCUGCUCCUAAUGAUGUUGGCAUUACUGGAGACGGCUCUCUCCCGAGCCAAGGCCUUCAGUGAGCUUUUUGAGGACUGACUUUGAGGAUCUAGUGCUCCAGUAUGGGCUUCCACGGGGCUGGUGGGAAAGAGGCACUUCUGUAGCUCGCAAGGCUUCUGCCACCUUGCUCGUGGGUGCCUGCUGAGGGGGUCACUGCUGCUUCCUGAUGCCUGUGGUCACCCACUGGUACAAAGUGGGGACACACUAGAGCUGCUAUGCUCUGGGAAACAGCAGGAGCACCAGUACCUGCUAGGAAGAUGCUGCAGGCUCUCAUCCUGAUGGGAUAUUCCUUCAGAAAGGAGCAAAUCUCACAGGAUUUGCUGUGAAAAUUACUGGGCGCUGAUGGCAGGUUGCAUGGCCAACAAGUGGACUGUCCUGGGUCAUCACAGUCUGGUCUUCUGCUGUUUGUGAUGGAGGCAUCUGGUGUUGGCUCCCCGUGUCUCUUUUUCCUGGAAGCAUGAACUCCACACAGCAACUGGCAGCUGUACCAACUAGUUCGUUGUCUUCCUCUAACUGCUAGUUUUCUCCCAGUGGAAGAGAAAGUGUUUCAGUAAUAUAAUCCCAAUGAAUGAAGGGGUUUUCUUAAUUAAAGUAAUAAUCUGAAAGUUGUCAUUGAUAAGUGUGUAAACAAGCUGAUUGCAGUGGGCGCGUGAAUAGCUCUAAUGAGCACAUGUGGGUAUUAAAUUAACCAUGGUUCACAAGCCAUGCAUGGCUAUGUUGUUAUUUAGAAAUAACCACUUUCCCCUUGUACUCAACUUUGCCUACCACCCCAAAAAUCUUGUCUUUUCACCGUGUUGCACAACAGAAAGGAAUGUUGUUCUCUCACAAGAGAGCCUUAAAGGAAAUUGCUGCAGUUAAGGUGUCUGGGAAUGCAGGCUGUGCUGUUGGCAUUUUUUCCCCUAGGUGCGGUGUAGCCUGGUGGGUAAAGCAUGAGCAUUCAGCAUCAGCUUCUCUUUGCUGGUAGCUUGUUCCGGGGCCCUUGGAGGAGGCACUCCACUGCUGGUUGUGGUGGAGUGCCCUGUCUGCGAAAUGGGAGAACAAUGGCUCUUGCAAGGCUGUUGUGCCAUUAACGAGCUCCUUGGAGGAAAGGCCCUACAGAAGUGCAAAUCAUCUUCUUAUUUGCUGUUAAUUAUUGAUAUAUUUAUUCAUUGCAAUAAGCAGGAUAAUAGAAGGGCAAUGGUAGGCUCAGCUGAUCUGCAAGUUGGUGGAAGUACAGUGGCUUCUCGUUACAGUCCCCAGAAGGAAGCCCUGGACGUGCAGCUGUGUUGAUGCUGAUGGGACACUGGAAGAAUCUCACCUUUCCAGGCCUGGGAGCAUCUCCAUGAUUUGAUGAAAAGAAGCAUGUGUGUGUAGCUUCCAUCUGUUGGAGGGGAAACGGAAUUUGAGUGCUAAAUUCGUUCUGACUGGCUUUCCUGGGUGAUCCUGUCUACAGCCUAAAAUAGUAAAGGUGGACAAAACUUCAGGGUGCAGUUUGGCUUCCAGAGAGUUAAGUACAGCUUCUUCCUUCAUCUGGAGGAGGUCAGAGCUCAUGUGUCACUGUGUACUGGAGGCAAUUGGACCUGAUUUUCCAUUUUAGUAGCAACUAAUUCUCCUUUGCUGUCAUUUCAGGACAUUUUUGUUGUCAUGUUAUGAACUGGAAAUUCAGCCUACUGUUAACCACUGUGUUGCUGCAAAUAGCUUCCUUCCUUUUCAGUGCCUAGAUUUAGCAGAGAAUUAAGGUGGAGAGGAGAUGCUGAAAUGGUGAUGCUACCAAAGACAACUGUUCUUUGUUUAAAUAAAC
Cuculus canorus (common cuckoo) is the source of this 6657-nucleotide long non-coding RNA. RefSeq lists it as uncharacterized. Lineage: Eukaryota; Metazoa; Chordata; Aves; Cuculiformes; Cuculidae. The record is from RefSeq and is a predicted model, not a curated record. The transcript is spliced from 5 exons.